AAACCAGCACCUCAAGUGGUCAGGAUGAUUAUUGGGCCUAAAGCAUCCGUAGCCUGCUCUGUAAGUUUUCGGUUAAAUCUGUACGCUCAACGUACAGGCUGUCGGGAAUACUGCAGAGCUAGGGAGUGCGAGAGGUAGACGGUACUCGGGAGGAAGUGGUAAAAUGCUUUGAGCUCUCGAUGACCACCUGUGGCGAAGGCGGUCUACCAGAACACGUCCGACGGUGAGGGAUGAAAGCUGGGGGAGCAAACCGAAUUAGAAACCCCAGUAGUCC
RNAcentral lists this ribosomal RNA (274 nucleotides) under uncultured bacterium. RNAcentral's name for it is "partial 16S ribosomal RNA". It matches the Rfam family "Archaeal small subunit ribosomal RNA", at positions 473 to 747 of the family's 1478-position model. The record is from RNAcentral.